This 307-nucleotide unclassified non-coding RNA is filed under the name plant metagenome. RNAcentral's name for it is "partial contains 5.8S ribosomal RNA, internal transcribed spacer 2, and large subunit ribosomal RNA". The stretch from base 1 to 105 matches the Rfam family "5.8S ribosomal RNA", at positions 50 to 154 of the family's 154-position model. The record is from RNAcentral.
GAAGUGCGAUAAGUAGUGUGAAUUGCAGAAUUUAGCGAAUCAUCGAAUCUUUGAACGCACAUUGCGCCCCUUGGUAUUCCAUGGGGCAUGCCUGUUCGAGCGUCAUUUCAACCCUCAAGCACUGCUUGGUGUUGGGCGUUUGUCCCGCCUACGCGCGUGGACUCGCCUCAAAGUCAUUGGCAGCUGUUCCCCUUCGGCUCGUAAGCGCAGCACAGUCGGCGCCCGGAGCUCUGGUGGGAUGGCGUCCAGCAAGCUAUAUUUUCAGGCUUGACCUCGGAUCAGGUAGGGAUACCCGCUGAACUUAAGC